Long non-coding RNA from Portunus trituberculatus (swimming crab), 314 nucleotides. RefSeq lists it as uncharacterized. NCBI's taxonomy places the organism in Eukaryota, Metazoa, Arthropoda, Malacostraca, Decapoda, Portunidae. The transcript is spliced from 3 exons. The record is from RefSeq and is a predicted model, not a curated record.
AGAGACAUGGCGGGGAGUGUUGUGUGUGAAUGGCUGCUGCAUCACAUCCAAAGCGGAGAAUUGGGCUGUCUGCCUCAUCUUUACUGGCGUGACAGGUUUAAUGAAGACGGGAGACUGAAUACAGAUGUUAUAAGGCGGCGCCGACAGUAUAAGAUUUCAACAAGAGGGAAUGCGACACGUGCGUCAAUUGAAUUUUCAUAAGAGGAUUCAAGAAUGAGAACCAUCAAGCUUAGUGACUAAACUACGUAAUGCUGCUACCUACUCCAUAGAUGAAUGACUCGCUGGCAGCCUGUGAGAAUGUGUGCCCGCACGUU